ACCUCACAUGAAACACCAGGAAAGUAUCAGGAAAAAGGAAACCAAAUGACUUCUCAGAUAAAAAAACCCUAAAGAUGUUGUUAGCUUUCCAGAUAGCUCCACUGAAACCAAAGUGAGGACCAUGCUUCUCAGAGAAGAGAGCAUCCUGAGCUAACACAGAAGGACCAUGUUCUCUUUGUCUGUGUUCAGAUGGAAUCCUAAUUAACAUGUUAAUUGGCAGCUGCAGAGAGGAAUUAGAGAGCUGCUUAACGACCAGCU
Long non-coding RNA from Pogoniulus pusillus (Red-fronted tinkerbird), 258 nucleotides. RefSeq lists it as uncharacterized. NCBI's taxonomy places the organism in Eukaryota, Metazoa, Chordata, Aves, Piciformes, Lybiidae. The transcript has 3 exons. The record is from RefSeq and is a predicted model, not a curated record.